AGCAGCCGCGGUAAUUCCAGCUCCAAUAGCGUAUAUUAAAGUUGUUGCAGUUAAAAAGCUCGUAGUUGAAUUUCGGGGUUAGUAGGUUGGUCAUGCCUCUGGUAUGUACUGGUCUCACUGAUUCCUCCUUCCUGACGAUCCGUAAUGCCAUUUAUUUGGUGUUGCGGGGAAUUUGGACUGUUACUUUGAAAAAAUUAGAGUGUUUAAAGCAAGCUAACGCUUGAAUACAUUAGCAUGGAAUAAUGAAAUAGGACGUUUGAUUCUAUUUUGUUGGUUUCUAGGAUCGACGUAAUGAUUAAUAGGGAUAGUUGGGGGCAUUAGUAUUCAAUUGUCAGAGGUGAAAUUCUUGGAUUUAUUGAAGACUAACUACUGCGAAAGCAUUUGCCAAGGAUGCUUUCAUUAAUCAAGAACGAAAGUUAGGGGAUCGAAGACGAUCAGAUACCGUCGUAGUCUUAACCAUAAAACUAUAGUCCGACUAGGGAUCGGAUGAUGUUAAUUUUUAAUGUAACUCAUUCGGCGC
This 520-nucleotide ribosomal RNA is filed under the name uncultured Glomus. RNAcentral describes it as "SSU rRNA". It matches the Rfam family "Eukaryotic small subunit ribosomal RNA", at positions 569 to 1086 of the family's 1831-position model. The record is from RNAcentral. Lineage: Eukaryota; Fungi; Glomeromycota; Glomeromycetes; Glomerales; Glomeraceae.